UUAGGCUACUAUACUAUUUAUAAUACCGGAGCUUUGGUACUAUAGUCUUGUUUUCAAUCUUAGGGUGUUCAAAUUAACAACCUACACAGUUAAAUAUGAUUUAGGGUAUAUAAAGUUCUUAGGAAUAAAAUUUUAAUUUUUUUCGACAUUGUUUACUUAGUAAAUAAUUUAUGUCAAAAUGGACAAUAAAAAUUGAAUAAUUUUUCAAAUUUGAGCAUAUGGCUUUUAAAUUCAAGAUCAAGAAUAUUAACCUUAAUCUAGAUAGUUUAAAGUAUUUUCUAUCAAAAUUUGAAAAAAUUUAGAUUAUUUUACACCGUUAAACUCCAAAUUUGCCAUAGUAGUCAUUGAAAAUUGUCGAAAAAAUAUAAAAUUUUAUUUCUAAAAACUUUAAAUACCCUAGAUCAGUUUUAACGGUGUGAAUCGUUGAUUUGAACACUCUGAAAUCGAAAACAGAACUAUAGUACCGGAGCCCCGGUACAGUAGAUAGUAUAGGAGACUAGCUAUAUAUAUAUAUAGAGUUUGACUGGCUACUAUCGGUAGUAAACUGCUCGGUUUACUACCGAUUUGUUUUUCAUGAUAGAGCUUCCAAAUAAACGAUCGACACCGAUGAACAUGAUUUAGACCAUUUAAAUUAUCUAGAAAUCAAAUUUCAUGAUUUUUUGGCAUCACUAACUGAACGAUCAAAGGGUCAUAAAAUCUAUAAUUUUAAUGAGUGAUAUGGUGCGUUUUCUCGUUUAACGGUAUAGAAGAGUUCAAAUCAACUAAAUUUUUGUUAAAAAAUUCUUUGAACUAUUUAAAAUAAGAUCUAGACUCUAGAUCUCAAAUAUAAAAAUUGUAUCAUUACUUUAUGAAGGAUAUUCAUUUCCAGCCAUUCAUUUUUCUAUUCACUUGAUGGACAAUAGAACAAUAUCGAAAAUGUAUGAAAUUUAAUUUCCAGAUAGUUUAAAUAGUUUAGAUCAUGUUUAACGGUGCCGAUCAUCAAUUUGGAAGCUCUAUCAUCGAAAACAAAUCGGUAGUAAACCGAGCCAUUUACUACGAUAGUAUUCUAGCAAAAC
RNAcentral lists this long non-coding RNA (1055 nucleotides) under Ananas comosus (pineapple). Its description in RNAcentral is "long non-coding RNA (ACOM_LNC022888)". Lineage: Eukaryota; Viridiplantae; Streptophyta; Magnoliopsida; Poales; Bromeliaceae. The record is from RNAcentral.